RNAcentral lists this ribosomal RNA (460 nucleotides) under uncultured bacterium. Its description in RNAcentral is "partial 16S ribosomal RNA". It matches the Rfam family "Bacterial small subunit ribosomal RNA", at positions 338 to 795 of the family's 1533-position model. The record is from RNAcentral.
CCUACGGGAGGCAGCAGUGAGGAAUAUUGGUCAAUGGCCGUAAGGCUGAACCAGCCAAGUCGCGUGAAGGAAGAAGGAUCUAUGGUUUGUAAACUUCUUUUAUAGGGGAAUAAAGGUAUCCACGUGGGGAUAUUUCCAUUUACCCUAUGAAUAACCAUCGGCUAACUCCGUGCCAGCAGCAGCGGUAAUACGGAGGGGCCGAGCGUUAUCGGGAUUGAUUGGGUUUAAAGGGUGCGUAGGUUGUUUUGUAAGUCAGCUGUGAAAGUUGGUGGUUUAACCCUAAAAUUGCCGUUGAUACUGGAAGACGUGAGUGUGUUUGAGGUAGGCGGAAUGCGUGGUGUAGCGGUGAAAUGCAUAGAUAUCACGCAGAACGCCGAUUGCGAAGGCAGCUUACUAAGCUAUAACUGACACUGAGGCACGAAAGCGUGGGGAUCAAACAGGAUUAGAUACCCCAGUAGUC